Molecule: small nuclear RNA, 111 nt
Filed under: Mus musculus (house mouse)
Lineage: Eukaryota; Metazoa; Chordata; Mammalia; Rodentia; Muridae
Description: U4 spliceosomal RNA
Rfam family: U4 spliceosomal RNA
About the family: U4 small nuclear RNA (U4 snRNA) is a component of the major U2-dependent spliceosome. The structure of U4 snRNA from yeast and human has been reported. U4 snRNA presents a k-turn RNA motif in the 5p-SL related to recognition of Snu13 protein.
Source: Rfam by way of RNAcentral
AGCUUUGCACAGCAGCAGUAUCGUAGCCAAUGAGGCUUAUCCAAGGCAGGAUUAUUGUUAAUUGAAAACUGUUUUUCUUUUGUGCUGUAUUUAUUUAUUUAUUUAUUUAUU